UGCAGGUAGGUAGCAAUAGAGGAAUGUCUAAAACAGAAAGCCAAAUUGAUUCCUUGUGAGAUCCACUUGCAAAGAGCAAUGCACAUUUGAUGGAUGACGGAUCUAGAUCAUAUGUACGGGAAAUAAUUCGAGUGGUCCCGGGACAUUGUAAGGUGAUGGUUGAAGAUUGAGACGUGUAUAUGUGUACAAUGCUUCGAAGGAUGGAAGAAAGACUUAUAGUGUCCGUGGUUGGGAUGGCUCGCAUGGAUGGAAUUGAACUGUUAUGGAAACGUGCAGAGGAUGCUGCUGAUGAUAAGCUUCUACUCGCAACAUCAGAAACUGGGGGUCUGCAGAUAGGCUGGGGUCUUCCUUCUUUGGCCAACUCAGUCUAAGUAAGCAUCAUUUCUGUGGGAUUUACUUUUUAAUGAUUUUUUGUUGAAACUUUUGAUGGUGAUUCAUUAUAUGGAAAUGGUGUUGAGAUUCUUAAAGAUUUGAUGGGGUUUAGGAGUAAUUGUUGUUAAUAGGGUUUAGCAGUAAAUUUGAAUUGAAAUUGCAAAUUGUUAUAUUUCUGUCCAUGUAUUCUCUCA
Papaver somniferum (opium poppy) is the source of this 566-nucleotide long non-coding RNA. RefSeq lists it as uncharacterized. The transcript has 3 exons. Lineage: Eukaryota; Viridiplantae; Streptophyta; Magnoliopsida; Ranunculales; Papaveraceae. The record is from RefSeq and is a predicted model, not a curated record.